Non-coding RNA from Neogale vison (American mink), 73 nucleotides. The record is from the annotation of a RefSeq genome assembly. NCBI's taxonomy places the organism in Eukaryota, Metazoa, Chordata, Mammalia, Carnivora, Mustelidae.
ACCUGGCUGGUUCAGUAGGUAGAGCAUGUGACUUUUAAUCUCAGGGUCAUGGGUUCAAGCCCCAUGUUGGGCA